This 635-nucleotide ribosomal RNA is filed under the name uncultured bacterium. RNAcentral's name for it is "bacterial SSU rRNA". It matches the Rfam family "Bacterial small subunit ribosomal RNA", at positions 64 to 710 of the family's 1533-position model. The record is from RNAcentral.
GAACGGAAUUUACAUGAAGCCUAGCGAUUGUAAAUUUAGUGGCGGACGGGUGAGUAACGCGUGGGUAACCUGCCUUGUACUGGGGGACAACAGUUGGAAACGACUGCUAAUACCGCAUAAGCGCACAGCUUCGCAUGAAGCAGUGUGAAAAACUCCGGUGGUACAAGAUGGACCCGCGUCUGAUUAGCUGGUUGGUGAGGUAACGGCCCACCAAGGCGACGAUCAGUAGCCGGCCUGAGAGGGUGAACGGCCACAUUGGGACUGAGACACGGCCCAAACUCCUACGGGAGGCAGCAGUGGGGAAUAUUGCACAAUGGGGGAAACCCUGAUGCAGCAACGCCGCGUGAGUGAAGAAGUAUUUCGGUAUGUAAAGCUCUAUCAGCAGGAAAGAAAAUGACGGUACCUGACUAAGAAGCCCCGGCUAACUACGUGCCAGCAGCCGCGGUAAUACGUAGGGGGCAAGCGUUAUCCGGAUUUACUGGGUGUAAAGGGAGCGUAGACGGUUUUGCAAGUCUGAAGUGAAAGCCCGGGGCUUAACCCCGGGACUGCUUUGGAAACUGUAGGACUAGAGUGCAGGAGAGGUAAGUGGAAUUCCUAGUGUAGCGGUGAAAUGCGUAGAUAUUAGGAGGAACACC